RNAcentral lists this non-coding RNA (181 nucleotides) under Lysinibacillus odysseyi. Lineage: Bacteria; Bacillati; Bacillota; Bacilli; Caryophanales; Bacillaceae. The record is from RNAcentral. RNAcentral also lists the same sequence under 1 other name.
GAAUAAGUAACAUCAUAAAGUGCUCAAGUAAUUGAGAUAAUAGGGAAGCUCGUGAAAGUCGAGCGCAGCCCCCGCUACUGUAAUUGCUGAUGAAAUCAUAAAACCACUCGUGUAAACCGGGGAAGGUAUGAAAGUAAGAAGAAGCAAGAGCCAGGAAACCUGCUUUAUAAUGUAAAACUGA